CAUCAGAGCAAGUCCAUCAGGUGACAUUCUUUUUCACCUCUGUCUCCUUUCACUUUGAAGGUUCCCAUGUUUGAGGAAGCAUUUGGUGUUGCUGUGCAAAGUGUUGCUGCAGUGGAGGUUCAAGGUUACUGUUUAUUGAUAUGGAUCCCAUCAUACUUUGUUCAUUGUUUGUUCAGGAGUUUGCCCUAAGUCUCCGUGUUUGAGGGCCUAUUCUGUGGAUAUAUUUAUUUGCACUUUUAUUGAUG
Molecule: long non-coding RNA, 245 nt
Organism: Corythoichthys intestinalis (scribbled pipefish)
Lineage: Eukaryota; Metazoa; Chordata; Actinopteri; Syngnathiformes; Syngnathidae
Exons: 3
Source: RefSeq, a predicted model, not a curated record